RNAcentral lists this ribosomal RNA (377 nucleotides) under uncultured organism. RNAcentral describes it as "partial 16S ribosomal RNA". It matches the Rfam family "Bacterial small subunit ribosomal RNA", at positions 527 to 896 of the family's 1533-position model. The record is from RNAcentral.
GUAGGGUGCGAGCGUUAUCCGGAAUCAUUGGGCGUAAAGAGCUCGUAGGCGGUUCAGCAAGUCGGCUGUGAAAUUCCGAGGCUCAACCUCGGAACUGCAGUCGAUACUGCUGUGACUCGAGUCCGGUAGAGGAGAAUGGAAUUCCCGGUGUAGCGGUGAAAUGCGCAGAUAUCGGGAGGAACACCAGUAGCGAAGGCGGUUCUCUGGGCCGGCACUGACGCUGAGGAGCGAAAGCGUGGGGGUAGCAAACAGGAUUAGAUACCCUGGUAGUCCACGCCCGUAAACGUUGGAUACUAGGUGUGGGGUUCCGACCAACGGUCCCCGUGCCGAAGCUAACGCGUUAAGUAUCCCGCCUGGGGAGUACGGCCGCAAGGCUA